AAAAUAAAAAAGAAAAAAGGAAAAAAAAAGAAAAGGUGUUGCUUAUUUUUCGUUUUCAUCCGUUUUAUCUGUAAAGAAUCAGUUCAACUAGAUCGACUGUUUCUAGUAUAAGUGAUAAAGAGCUUGGUGGUUAGUAUUCGAUAUUUCAAAUUUGAAUUCUAAUUAAUUGAAUAUUAUCUUUCUCUCUCUCUCAAAAAAAAAGAAAAAAAAGAAAAAAAAAAA
This 222-nucleotide long non-coding RNA is filed under the name Ananas comosus (pineapple). RNAcentral describes it as "long non-coding RNA (ACOM_LNC021657)". Lineage: Eukaryota; Viridiplantae; Streptophyta; Magnoliopsida; Poales; Bromeliaceae. The record is from RNAcentral.